This is an RNA transcript of Tarenaya hassleriana, 3259 nucleotides long. RefSeq lists it as uncharacterized. Lineage: Eukaryota; Viridiplantae; Streptophyta; Magnoliopsida; Brassicales; Cleomaceae. The transcript has 5 exons. The record is from RefSeq and is a predicted model, not a curated record.
AUAAGGUUGGGUCGACAGGUUUAGGAUCUGGGUUUUUACCAGAACCGGACAUGACUUCGCCUCCGGUGUCCGGAGCACCCAAUGCUCCGACGAAGAAAUCAGCCUCAGAUGCUUAGCGAGUGGAUACUUGGUGCCCCUUUCUGAAUUUUGGAUUUCUUUUUCUUUUAACAAUAAAAACGCAAAUUGAAAGGUGUUUUUUUUUUCAAGAAAUUUAUUUAUUUUUUAAAGUAUUUUUGGUAGAAAUUGGGAUUCAACGGUAAUACUAAUCAUAAUCGUCACCCACUGUCAAUGGCGAAUCUGCUUCUUCUUCGGUUCUCGUCUUCUUCACCUCUCCUCGGGAGCCCUAAUCGCGGAUAUUGCAUCGGGAGCAUAGAGAGGCUACUGUGGCGGGACGUUGUGAGCCGCGGUACCCGCGAAUGCCGUGCCGCCGGCGGUGGACGGUUCAAAUUCCGGCCGGAGGAGGAGCUCCGCCGCCGUGGAGGCUUCGAUCCUUUCGAUUUUAGGAAGAGUGAGAAGAAGAGGAUGUGGUGGUCCGACUACGGUGAUGACGAUGAUGAUUUGGAGGAGGACGAUGAUGGCGAGCUUCUGUCUAUGGGGUUUGAGGUAUUUAGGGCUUUUAGUUGGAUGCUUGCACCCAUUGGCAUAUCUUUGCUGCUAGGAACAGACUCAAACGCGGGUUUAAUGGCAUUAGCAGCUCCAUUGGUACAAUCCAUACUGUCCCUUGUGAUUGAAAAGGCUUGGAGUAGACCAAGCAUUAGACCUAUGAGAAGAACCAGAAGAAGGAUAGUUCCAAGAUCUGCAACCGUAAGUUAUGGAAGAUCAAGCAACACUAGACAAGAAGAAAGCGUGGCUGGCGUAAACCCAGGAGGGUACAAGUCAUGGGUGGUAGGAGAUGCCGAUCCCCGAGGUACUGAUUCUAGAUAUGGGGGAUGGGAUGAUCUGGACACACAGAAAGAGAUCAGAUAUGCCUCUGAAAAUCCAUCGAGUGAAAAUGGGCGAACAAAGCAACAAUACAAAAGAAAAGUGAGCCGGCCGUUGAGAAUCAAAGAGAAACCUUUGCUUUUGAGAAUGCUGAUUGCUUUCUUCCCAUUUUUCGGCUCGUGGACCAAGUUGUUAUUUUGACGAGGGGCUUAACCAUGGCUCGGAGAAAAUACUUUUUUCUCGCAGGUUUAGUUCAGUUAUCAUGCAAUCAGAGGGAAAGACAUUUAGAGAAGAGGACAAGAAGCUUUUAUCUUCAAACCAUUUCCACUUCCCAGAUUCAGAAAGCUAAGGCCCUUGGGGAUGGUCACAACUCACAAGGUCGCCUGUCUCAAACUCUACAAAUUCUGAUGACCCUUUUGGAUAAACCUUCACCUUUCCGCAGAGCAGGUAGCAUGUCUGUCUUGCUUCAAAUCUCGGUGCAUAUUUUCCAGGUGGACAGCCCCAUCUACUUAUGAGGGGAUUCAUCAGGAAUAAUACUCUGUUAUAACCAGUAAGAAUGAAGGGAAAAAAGAGAAAGAGAAUAUGCAUUUUAGUGUUAGGAACGUGACAUAUGCAUUUUGAAUACUUAGGCCAUGAUGUGAUUCCUAGUUCUGAUAACCUUGAUUUCGGCGGAUUUCUUUCGAUGACGAUAUUCAUAUUGGAAGAUGAAUCAGGUGACUUUGAUGCUGUUGCCAUGCAAUAGAGAGAACAGAGAGAAACAGAGAAGGAGAGCAAGGGAGGGAGAAGGUGAGUUGAUAUAGUAUUUAUUUAGUUAAGUACAAAGUAGUUGGCUUGAAUGCCCCCGCGUGUGUGUGUGUGUAUAUAACGGGACGGGACAUAACUAAAGUCUGCACUUUCUUUUCUGUAAAUGGAUAAUAGGUGAUUGAGACAAGCUGAUUCAGUUUAGGAUCAUGAGAAGACUUUGACCGAAAAGGGACAUAGUCGAUAAAUAUAAACACUUGCAUUAAGCUCUCAGCUUUUUCAGAUAUUCAUACGAGCAGGAGAUAAUAUUAUACGUUUUGAUUUUGAUUUUUAAUCAGAAUUCUAGGAAAGAGAGAAGGCUUAUUUACAUUAUUGAGCAAGGCUUUGAUGAUAAGUCCACCUACAUCAAGACAAGCACAUGGACCCCUUUUUUGUCUUCUUAUUUUAUUUCAUAUCCCCUUUCACACUUUGUGCCAUCUUGGAAUUUUCUUGUUUUGUUCUGAUCCUGCAAGAUCAUAGAAGAUCAAGCAUUUUUUAUUGCAGCUUGCAUGUGCUACUGCUCUGCCAUUGUGGAUAUAUGUACAGUUUCAUUGGUUUUACAGUAAGUUUUUAACCUUUUACAUCAAAUCUCAUGCCUGGAAGAAAGAGGACACCCACAUCUUUUAUAUCUUUCUCUGAACCUAUCUCACAGUUGUAUAUUGCAUGUGUUUUUUGGUUCUAACAGUGUUUGACUGAGUUUUCUGUGAAGGUACGUCAUAAAGUUGCGCAUUGAUUCGUGUAGCCCACCUCUGGUUCUGUUUGUUUCUUCGUAUUUAUAUAUUCGGCAUGUGCGUAUUAGUAUAUACGUUUGCAUAUGCAUAUAAUACUUACAUAAUGGCCAUAUAGAUCUGUGCCGAAGACACGUAUGUAUGCGUAUGCAAAUCCAUAUGGAUAUAUUUCAUGUUCGUCUUUUAGACUGAGGAAUAUGAACACCUGGAAAGAAUACAGCCAGAUUCAGAAUGAAGUGAAAUCCUCCAUGUGAGCGGAACUGAAAGAUCAUUCAUGGAGACUCGUUGAAUGGUGGAACCAUUAGAAAAAUGGUCCUGCUUGGAUGUGUCUGUGUCUAACAAGACAACCUGAGUUUGUUUGGAUGUGAGCAGACCUGGUCAAUGCACGCAUUACAUACUCCACGAGAUGAACUUAUGGCUCAGAUGUUGGUAACCGGGUGAUUGAUUUUGAUGCGAGAUGGGUGAAGAAAGAAUGCGGUAACUAUGGAAUAAUAGCAGUGUAUCUCUUAGCUCUUUAUUGGUAUUGGUCAUCAUGUUUCUAUAAUAAGUUUUAGCGUACAUGUCAUCAGAUUUUCACUUGCGCAAUAGUAUAUGGAGUUCUUGAGACAAUCUCACGGUACCAUAGGUAAAGCUCAGAGCUUUGCAGAAUCGAGAACAUAAGUUGUACAUGUCAUCAGAUUUUCUCUUGCGCAAUAGUAUAUGGAGUUCUUGAGACAAUCUCAUGGUACCAUAGAAUUGGCAUCCAAAGCCGCCAGAAAAGGUUUGGAAGGCAAUGCAAGAACAGUUUCUCCAGCAGCUAGCAUGGCAAUCGCUAAGAUCCAGGCUUGAAU